This 492-nucleotide ribosomal RNA is filed under the name uncultured Diversispora. RNAcentral's name for it is "SSU rRNA". It matches the Rfam family "Eukaryotic small subunit ribosomal RNA", at positions 569 to 1059 of the family's 1831-position model. The record is from RNAcentral. Lineage: Eukaryota; Fungi; Glomeromycota; Glomeromycetes; Diversisporales; Diversisporaceae.
AGCAGCCGCGGUAAUUCCAGCUCCAAUAGCGUAUAUUAAAGUUGUUGCAGUUAAAAAGCUCGUAGUUGAACUUCGGGGUUCGCCCAUUGGUCAGGCUUAAUUGUUUGUACUGGUGAGAUGAAUCUCUACCUUCUGAGGAACUUUCAUGCCAUUUAUUUGGUGUGAUUGGAAAUCAGGACUGUUACUUUGAAAAAAUUAGAGUGUUUAAAGCAGGCUAACGUCUGAAUACAUUAGCAUGGAAUAAUGAAAUAGGACGGACUGAUUCUAUUUCGUUGGUUUCUAGGGUCACCGUAAUGAUUAAUAGGGAUAGUUGGGGGCAUUAGUAUUCAAUUGUCAGAGGUGAAAUUCUUGGAUUUAUUGAAGACUAACUACUGCGAAAAGCAUUUUGCCAAGGAUGUUUUCAUUAAUCAAGAACGAAGUUAGGGGGAUCGAAUGACGAUCAGAUACCGUCGUAGUCUUAACCAUAAAACUAUGCCGACUAGGGAUUGGACG